This 253-nucleotide ribosomal RNA is filed under the name uncultured bacterium. Its description in RNAcentral is "partial 16S ribosomal RNA". It matches the Rfam family "Bacterial small subunit ribosomal RNA", at positions 524 to 776 of the family's 1533-position model. The record is from RNAcentral.
UACGAAGGGGGCUAGCGUUGUUCGGAAUCACUGGGCGUAAAGGGCGCGUAGGCGGCCGAUUAAGUCGGGGGUGAAAGCCUGUGGCUCAACCACAGGAUUGCCUUCGAUACUGAUUGGCUUGAGACCGGAAGAGGUAAGUGGAACUGCGAGUGUAGAGGUGAAAUUCGUAGAUAUUCGCAAGAACACCAGUGGCGAAGGCGGCUUACUGGUCCGGUUCUGACGCUGAGGCGCGAAAGCGUGGGGAGCAAACAGG